GUGCCCGGGGGAGUGGAGACGGCGCCGAAAGAGCCAAGGGCAAUGCCAGUAUGCCAGUAUGCCGGACGGUCCUGGCUGCUCUGGACUCCCCCAGGUUGUGAAGGCAGAGAAUAGGGCGGCCCGAUGGUGGAGAGAGCGGCCAUUGUGGAGAAGCUACCAAGUGGUCCGGAGCAGGAGGAGGAAGGCGAGGAAAGCCUGCGGUUUGACCUCAUGGUGCCUUUCCUGACCUUCGUGGAUGCAGAGACCUCGUGGUACCGGACCCGGGAUGAGGAGUCCCUGGAAGGAGCAGUUCACGG
RNAcentral lists this long non-coding RNA (296 nucleotides) under Rattus norvegicus (Norway rat). RNAcentral describes it as "long non-coding RNA NONRATT034127". Lineage: Eukaryota; Metazoa; Chordata; Mammalia; Rodentia; Muridae. The record is from RNAcentral.